This is a microRNA precursor of Oryza sativa Indica Group (long-grained rice), 206 nucleotides long. It matches the Rfam family "MIR812 microRNA precursor family". The record is from Rfam. NCBI's taxonomy places the organism in Eukaryota, Viridiplantae, Streptophyta, Magnoliopsida, Poales, Poaceae.
AAAAAGUCAAACCCUGGGUUUCCGUCCCAACGUUUGACUGUCCGUUUUAUAUGAAAUUUUUUUAUAAUUAGUAUUUUCAUUGUUGUUAGAUGAUAAAACAUGAUUAAUACUUUAUGCGUGACCUAUCUUUUUAAUUUUUUUCAUAUUUUUUUUUAAAUAAGACGAACUGUCAAACGUUGGACACGGAAACCAGGGUUUGUCUUUUU